AGAGUUUGAUCCUGGCUCAGGAUGAACGCUGGCGGCGUGCUUAACACAUGCAAGUCGAGCGAAGCACCUUGACGGAUUUCUUCGGAUUGAAGCCUUGGUGACUGAGCGGCGGACGGGUGAGUAACGCGUGGGUAACCUGCCUCAUACAGGGGGAUAACAGUUGGAAACGGCUGCUAAUACCGCAUAAGCGCACAGUACCGCAUGGUACGGUGUGAAAAACUCCGGUGGUAUGAGAUGGACCCGCGUCUGAUUAGGUAGUUGGUGGGGUAACGGCCUACCAAGCCGACGAUCAGUAGCCGACCUGAGAGGGUGACCGGCCACAUUGGGACUGAGACACGGCCCAAACUCCUACGGGAGGCAGCAGUGGGGAAUAUUGCACAAUGGGGGAAACCCUGAUGCAGCGACGCCGCGUGAGCGAUGAAGUAUUUCGGUAUGUAAAGCUCUAUCAGCAGGGAAGAAAAUGACGGUACCUGACUAAGAAGCCCCGGCUAACUACGUGCCAGCAGCCGCGGU
Molecule: ribosomal RNA, 513 nt
Filed under: uncultured bacterium
Lineage: Bacteria
Description: bacterial SSU rRNA
Rfam family: Bacterial small subunit ribosomal RNA
Source: RNAcentral